CUCGUAGGCGGUUCAGUAAGUCGGGUGUGAAAACUCUGGGCUUAACCCAGAGCCGCCAUCCGAUACUGCUGAACUUGAGUACGGUAGGGGAGUGGGGAAUUCCUGGUGUAGCGGUGAAAUGCGCAGAUAUCAGGAGGAACACCGGUGGCGAAGGCGCCACUCUGGGCCGAAACUGACGCUGAGGAGCGAAAGCGUGGGUAGCAAACA
RNAcentral lists this ribosomal RNA (207 nucleotides) under uncultured bacterium. Its description in RNAcentral is "partial 16S ribosomal RNA". It matches the Rfam family "Bacterial small subunit ribosomal RNA", at positions 568 to 774 of the family's 1533-position model. The record is from RNAcentral.